Molecule: ribosomal RNA, 459 nt
Filed under: uncultured bacterium
Lineage: Bacteria
Description: partial 16S ribosomal RNA
Rfam family: Bacterial small subunit ribosomal RNA
Source: RNAcentral
CCUACGGGAGGCAGCAGUGAGGAAUAUUGGUCAAUGGCCGAGAGGCUGAACCAGCCAAGUCGCGUGAGGGAAGACGGCCCUACGGGUUGUAAACCUCUUUUGUCGGGGAGCAAAGCGAGUCACGUGUGACUCAUUGAGAGUACCCGAAGAAAAAGCAUCGGCUAACUCCGUGCCAGCAGCCGCGGUAAUACGGAGGAUGCGAGCGUUAUCCGGAUUUAUUGGGUUUAAAGGGUGCGCAGGCGGAUGUGAAAGUCAGCGGUAAAAUUGUGGGGCUCAACCUCGUAUUGCAGUUGAAACUUGAACCCUUGAGUGCGCGAGAGGUAUGCGGAAUGCGUGGUGUAGCGGUGAAAUGCUUAGAUAUCACGAAGAACUCCGAUUGCGAAGGCAGCAUACCGGCGCGCAACUGACGCUGAUGCACGAAAGCGUGGGUAUCGAACAGGAUUAGAUACCCCAGUAGUC